AAAACGAAAAACAGUCAGGUACCAGGUAGAGUGGGAGAUGCAAAGUACAACUCUUGAGACCUAAAGAUGGUAAGUGUUUUUCCAACAUGACCUGGUACAUUAAAAAUAAGCAUUAGAAACAGACAUACCUUAGUAGAAUAGAAAAAAGAUACAUUACAUCAUGCUGAGUAAUCAGGGGGAGGACAAGAUUCAAGAUGAGAUAUAAACUAGCUCUUUAAGACUGGAUAGGAUGUUUUAUGUUAAAAAGAAUGCCAGAACCAUUUUGGAAAUGAGUAAUAAAAUGAACAAAUUAGUGACGUGAUAAUGUGUGAAUCACAUGAUAAUAGACACAAAUUGUUUGGAAAGUGAGUUAUUUGGUAGUAGUUUGGAUUGUAUUCAAGAAUAUAGACUGAAGUUGAACAGAGAGAAUCCACAAUCUAUUAGUUUGAUAAAGUAGUACCAAUUAUUUAAGCUUUCUGAGGUUUAGGUUCUUUAUUAAAAAAUGCUACUAAACAAGUCUCAGGCUGCCAAAAUCAUUAAAAUAUAUAAAAGCUAAAUAAAUAAAUAAAUAAAUAAAUAAAUAAAUAAAUAAAUAAAAAUAUAUAAAAGCCCUUAACAGAAUGCCUUGUGUGACACCCACACUUACUAUUUGUAGUAGUAUCUUUGGGUAGCUAGAAUUAGGAUCACUUUUUUUUAAGACUUUUAAUUAAUUAAUUAAUUUAAGAGACGGAGAGAGCAAGAGCAUGAAUAGGAGGACGGACAGAGGGAGAGGGAGAGAGAAACAAGCAGACUCCCUGCUGAGCAUAGAGCCUGAUAUGGAGCUCAAUCCCAGGACCCCCAAAAAUAUGAUCCAAGCCAAAGUCAAAUGCUUAACCAACUGAGACACCCAGGUGACCCAGGAUCACUAUUUAACGGCAUUCCCUAGAAAGUCUCAGAGCACCAUUGUGACUAUUUUCAAUUUACGCUAAUAACAAGGUGUUUUUCUCAGUACGGAACAACAAAGCUGUAACACCAGAUAACACAAUGAAGAGGCAGGUGGGCUGCAUAUGUACAGUGGUCUCCCCUUAUCCAGUUGGGAGUACAUUGUCAGAUCUCCCAGUGGAUGCCUGAAACCAUGGAUAGUACCAAACCUUGUAUAUACUGUGAUAUAUAUCACACACACACACACACACACACACACACACACACACACAUACACAGUUUAACCUGUAAAUUAGACACAGCAAGAGAUUAGCAAUGACAAUAAAAUAGAAUGAUUAUAACAAUAUACUAAAAUAAAAGUUAGGUGAAUGUGGUGUCUCUCUCUCUCAAAAUAUCUUACUGUCUAUACUCCCCCAUCUUGUGAGGCUGUGAGAUGAUAAAUGCCUAUGUGAUGAGGUGAAUGACAUGGGUACCGUGACUUAGCAUUAGCCUUAGUUGACCUUCUGACAACUCCUCAGAAGGAGGAUCAUCUGCUUUCCAAAGGCAGGGGACCACUGGUAAGGAAACUGCAGAAAGGGAAAUGGCAGAUAAGGGGUACGACUGUCUACUCUGAGAGAAGAGAAACUGAACUGAGCUGCAGGUCAAAUGAAAACAAAAUGAAGCCUUUCCCAGAGCCGAUUAUGACUACAAAUGGGUUUUGGCUUUUUUCUUUGUAUUUCUGCCUCUUUAAGACAUUGUUCAUGAAGAUAAUUUCAAUGUAACUUGACAGGGCUUCCAGUGAAAAAAUGUUAAAGUCGUUUUUAUUCUACUCCCUUCCCUGACGUCUCACUGAACAAAUAUGUACACACAGGAGGGAAGAGAGGGGACACCUUUUUUUUUUUUUUUCCCAAAGUGCCAAGAAAGGCCCCUAACUGCAAACCUAAAACUGUAAAAUAUCCUUGUCAUACACUAAAGUUUGGAUCAAAAUGAAUAUGGCUGCUUAGGGUCGAUAUUUAUCUUCUCAGACUUUGGAUAACUGCAGACUUCUCUACAAGAGAGUAAGAUGGUCUUGAAAAGGUGAUUCAGAAAUACUUUGUGGAGAGUGUUGACAAGGUCCAGGAGUGUGCAUGGUCUGAGAGGGAGAGGGAGAGUGACCUUGUGCAGACCACAAGCUACCAAGCAGAACGGGAGAGAGGCACCUACUGAGGAUCCCUGCUGAUGUGCCAUUUUAUCUUCAACUCUGCUUCUAAGCACAGGGAGGUGACCGGCCAGAAGAGAAGAUGGGCGGAGGGGAAACAGAUCAUCUGCUUACAUCAUAGGACUUCCCUGUGAGCUGCAGCUUUGCCCUAAAAGCUCAAUGCUAAACAGAGAGAUGUUCCUAAAUCAGAAGACAUCCUAGAUUUUGUGAGGGGGAAUUUGAAACAACAAACCUGAAUGUGUUUCAGUUUGUUUCAAGGCAAGUGCCCCACCUCCCCCACUUUACUCUACUUCACUCAUCUUCAAAUACCUACUCCAGAUGGCGUUCACUCCCAUGCCAUUCCCUCCACUGAAACAGGGGCAGUAACUGAAAGAAAUCAGCACAGAACCAGGGACUACAAAUUUUAAAUAUGCAUAGAGUUAUGUUCAGAAUGUCAUUUUGUGAGUGCCAGUGAAGGUCACCUCUGGGUGAGUAGAAUUCUUUGCAUGUUUAUGUCUUACUUACAUUUAAAAAAAAAAAUGAGAUGUAAACAUUUGGCAAAUGGAUAAGGAAGUGAAACGCCAUACAAAAAGAAGAAGGGAAAACUAAGGGGAAAUGACUAUGGGGCACAAAGUGAGAAUCAGAGAAAACAAGACAAUGGAAAAAGAGGAUGGACCCAUUGAUUCAUGUACUGAGCAAACUUUGUGAUGCCCCAGCUCCUGAGCUGGUUGUUGGAAUCAGAGAUGAAAGGUGAGAGUCGCAGGGAACUGAUGGUGCACAGUCUAACUUAGGAGACAGGCCAGGAAGGAAAUGAUUUCAACAGAGUGAGGUUUUGCUUUUGCUUUUGUUUUAGUUGUAAAUGGAAGUGCAGACUGCUAUAGGUGGAUCCUAUUUCUGAACAUUGAAGUGUUGCCUACUUUUUCAGGCACUGCCCUGGUGAUGGACACAUAAAGUGAAAUGGGGUGCUUUCCCAACACUACCCAUGUGCUGCUGGCUCUUGUUUCUGCUCUGUGUUCCUCUGAAGCGGGAAGCAAUGAGGCACAGACUAGUGAAGACAGAAAUACCAGCAUAGGGAAGGGUGAAGGAAGUUGAAAGGGGCAACUGACUGGUGGCUAUUAUUAAUAACAUUAUUUAUUUUUACUAUUAUUAUUAUUUUGUGUGGCUGGUAUAGGAGGAAAAAUCUUUUUCCAGAGUGUGAUGGAGAAUGUAGUUCAGUAAUAAGAUUCUGAACCAGGGAUUGUGGAAAACGACAGGAAGUGCUAAUCAGAGUGCUAUACAACUAUUGCCCAAGUAAUACUGGGGCUCACACAUUUCCAGUUGCAAAUUCACACAAUGGCUAUACCAUCUAUUUCUAGCAAUGAUCAGUAAUGUAGAAGUCAAAGCAAAAAAAGAUUGGAUUGGAUUGGAUUAUUUUGGCCAUGUGUAAGAAUGACAAGAAAGCAAUGAGAUUUUUAAUAGUUGAAAGAAAUGGUCAUUUCUUCCUGAUUGCGAUGAUUGCCACAAAGUCUAGGUGUGUUCAGAAAAACGAGGAAGGCCAAAGGGAAUGAAAUUAGAACCUCAGGAAAAAGAGAUAAAAAAGAAAAAGGAAAUCAGAGACUUGAAGCUUCAAGGAGGUAAGAGGAUGACAUAUCAGAAUUUAAAACAUAAGAGGUGGAGGAGGUUUGCAUAAUGACAGUUUUCCAGGAUGUUACUCGGGGUGGUGAGGAGCCAAAUGGGAAGCAGUAAUGAGUGGAAGUCUACUGUGUGUAGGAAUUCAGAUCAUGCUAGAAUUGAGAUUUUUUUCUUAGCGAAAUUUGGCCAAAAAUCCACUCAACAUUUCACUCAUUGUUCAGUGGAAAAGGAAUGCAAAAUUAAUAUAAAUCUCACUAUCUCUCUCUCUCUUUCUAGUCUAUAUAAAAUAUAUACAGUGUGUGUGUGUGUGUGUGUGUGUGUGAAUGUUGUUCUUUAUUCCUUGUAGAAGUUAGCUAAAUAGCAUCAAUUUUGUUUUCCUCAAACAAUUCUCAAAUAGUAUUUUAGUAAACCUGAUGAAAUACAGGUUGAAAACCCCUCUUUGAUAGUUUGCUCUAGGAGUGCCUGGGCGGCUCAGUCGGUUGAGGGUCCAGCUCUUGAUUUCAGCUCAGGUCAUGAUCUCAGAGUCGUAGAUCAAGCCCUGCAUUGGGCUCCAUGCUCAGUGCAGAGUCAGCCUCCAAUUCUCUCUCUCUCUGCCCCUCCUCCAUUUGCAUACUCCCUCUAAAUAAAUAAAUAAUAGUUACAGCUCCAGAAAAAUGGUUCUCAAAGUAUGCUCCCUAACUAACAACAUCAUUAUCACCUAGGAACUUGCUGGAAAUAAGUAUUCUAAGGCCCUACCCUAGAUUAGUAAACAGAAACUCCGAAGAUGAGGCCAUCAUUCUGUGCCUUAACCAGACUCCUAUGGGAUUCUGAUGCAUGCUUGAAUUUUAGGACUGCUGCUCUACAAGUUAUUUAUACUAAUUGAUCAAAUGAUAUUUUUUGACAUCCAUAAUUUUCUUUUUAAAAGAUUUUAUUUAUUUAUUUAUUCAUUCAUUCAUUCAUUCAUUCAUUCAUUCAUGAGAGACAUAGAUAGAGAAGCAGAGACACAGGCAGAGGGAGAAGCAGGCUCCCCACAAGAAGCCC
RNAcentral lists this long non-coding RNA (4687 nucleotides) under Canis lupus familiaris (dog). Its description in RNAcentral is "lncRNA (ENSCAFG00000057877.1)". The record is from RNAcentral. Lineage: Eukaryota; Metazoa; Chordata; Mammalia; Carnivora; Canidae.